AACUUAAGCAUAUCAAUAAGCGGAGGAAAAGAAACCAACAGGGAUUGCCCCAGUAACGGCGAGUGAAGCGGCAACAGCUCAAAUUUGAAAUCUGGCCCUUACGGGUCCGAGUUGUAAUUUGUAGAGGAUGCUUUUGGCAAGGCGCCGCCCGAGUUCCCUGGAACGGGACGCCACAGAGGGUGAGAGCCCCGUCUGGCUGGCCGCCGAGCCUCUGUAAAGCUCCUUCGACGAGUCGAGUAGUUUGGGAAUGCUGCUCAAAAUGGGAGGUAUAUGUCUUCUAAAGCUAAAUAUUGGCCAGAGACCGAUAGCGCACAAGUAGAGUGAUCGAAAGAUGAAAAGCACCUUGAAAAGAGGGUUAAAUAGUACGUGAAAUUGUUGAAAGGGAAGCGCUUGUGACCAGACUUGGGCGCGGCGGAUCAUCCGGGGUUCUCCCCGGUGCACUUCGCCGUGUCCAGGCCAGCAUCAGUUCGUCGCGGGGGAAAAAGGCUUCGGGAACGUGGCUCCCCUGGGAGUGUUAUAGCCCGUUGCAUAAUACCCUGCGGUGGACUGAGGACCGCGCAUCUGCAAGGAUGCUGGCGUAAUGGUCACCAGCGACCCGUCUUG
Molecule: ribosomal RNA, 603 nt
Filed under: Trichoderma parareesei
Lineage: Eukaryota; Fungi; Ascomycota; Sordariomycetes; Hypocreales; Hypocreaceae
Description: eukaryotic LSU rRNA
Rfam family: Eukaryotic large subunit ribosomal RNA
Source: RNAcentral